CUGGAGCUGCACCAAGCCGGGCGACUUCCUCUCUCCUCCUGGCUCCACCAGGUAUUUGUUGGGAGAGAGAGUGAGCUACAAUCCAUCAAAUCUCUCCAUUGAGGAAUCCUCAAAUAAGGACUCCACUCUUUCUCAUUCUCCACAACAGGAGGUUGUUGUUGUGCUGAGAGUGUCUUUGCACUGCAGAGGAUGUGU
Non-coding RNA from Salvia hispanica, 195 nucleotides. The record is from RefSeq and is a predicted model, not a curated record. NCBI's taxonomy places the organism in Eukaryota, Viridiplantae, Streptophyta, Magnoliopsida, Lamiales, Lamiaceae.